GUCCCUGUAGCGCAAUGGAUAGCGCUUUGGACUUCUAAUCCAAAGGUCGUGGGUCCAAAUCCCACCUGGGAUG
RNAcentral lists this transfer RNA (73 nucleotides) under Trichonephila inaurata madagascariensis. It matches the Rfam family "tRNA". From Rfam's summary of the family: Transfer RNA (tRNA) molecules are approximately 80 nucleotides in length. Lineage: Eukaryota; Metazoa; Arthropoda; Arachnida; Araneae; Nephilidae. The record is from Rfam by way of RNAcentral.